AAGGGUACUCUCAUCACCAAUGU
This 23-nucleotide microRNA is filed under the name Murid gammaherpesvirus 4 (Murine herpesvirus 68). RNAcentral's name for it is "mghv-miR-M1-12-5p". Its record names the gene mghv-miR-M1-12-5p. Lineage: Duplodnaviria; Heunggongvirae; Peploviricota; Herviviricetes; Herpesvirales; Orthoherpesviridae. The record is from miRBase by way of RNAcentral.